UUUAAGUGCAGCUAUGAGCUUCUAUAUAACGUUUGAUCUUUCGUUUUAUUUGAAAAUUUUUAUAAUUAGUAGUUUUUUAUUAGAUGAUAAAAUAUAAAUAAUACUUUAUACGUGACUUAUUUUUUUAAUUUUUUAUAUUUUUUAAAUAAGAUGGACGGUCAAACAUUAAGCAGAGAAACCAACAGCUACACUUAAA
Non-coding RNA from Oryza barthii, 196 nucleotides. The record is from Rfam. NCBI's taxonomy places the organism in Eukaryota, Viridiplantae, Streptophyta, Magnoliopsida, Poales, Poaceae.